CUCCCUUCUUUGUAUUCCAAUUCAGUUUGUUGGUUCAGCAAAUCCUUACCAUUAAUCUUUUACCCAAUUGUUAACCUUUUUUUUUCCAUGUCUCUUAAAGCAUUACAGCUAAAAACCUCUUAAUUUCUAUCCAGCAUCCUUCUAAAGUUCCUUAAUUUUACAAUAUUUCUGUAAAUAGUCCUUAAAUUUUUUCCAGUCUUCUUUCACCGACUCUUCUCCCUGGUCUCGGAUUCUGCCAGUCA
Podarcis lilfordi (Lilford's wall lizard) is the source of this 242-nucleotide non-coding RNA. Lineage: Eukaryota; Metazoa; Chordata; Lepidosauria; Squamata; Lacertidae. The record is from the annotation of a GenBank genome assembly.